RNAcentral lists this ribosomal RNA (462 nucleotides) under uncultured bacterium. Its description in RNAcentral is "bacterial SSU rRNA". It matches the Rfam family "Bacterial small subunit ribosomal RNA", at positions 329 to 792 of the family's 1533-position model. The record is from RNAcentral.
GACCAGACUCCUACGGGAGGCAGCAGUGGGGAAUAUUGCACAAUGGGGGGAACCCUGAUGCAGCGACGCCGCGUGGGUGAAGGAGCACCUCGGUGCGUAAAGCCCUAUCGGCAGGGAAGAAAAGCGAACAGGUUCGCCUGGACGGUACCUGACUAAGAAGCCCCGGCUAACUACGGGCCAGCAGCCGCGGUAAUACGUAGGGGGCAAGCGUUAUCCGGAUUUACUGGGUGUAAAGGGAGCGUAGACGGCCAGACAAGUCUGAAGUGAAAAUCCAGCGCUUAACGUUGGAAGUGCUUUGGAAACUGCCGGGCUGGAGUGCAGGAGGGGCAGGCGGAAUUCCUAGUGUAGCGGUGAAAUGCGUAGAUAUCAGGAGGAACACCGGCGGCGAAGGCGGCCUGCUGGACCGUGACUGACGUUGAGGCUCGAGAGCGUGGGGAGCAAACAGGAUUAGAUACCCUAGUA